RNAcentral lists this ribosomal RNA (555 nucleotides) under Unionicola sp. Hyd_1012_1. Its description in RNAcentral is "partial large subunit ribosomal RNA". It matches the Rfam family "Eukaryotic large subunit ribosomal RNA", at positions 285 to 649 of the family's 3401-position model. Lineage: Eukaryota; Metazoa; Arthropoda; Arachnida; Trombidiformes; Unionicolidae. The record is from RNAcentral.
GCCUAAAGAAGGUGGUAAGCUCCACCUAAGGCUAAAUAUCACUGUGAGACCGAUAGCAAACAAGUACCGUGAGGGAAAGUUGCAAAGAACUUUGAAGAGAGAGUUCAACAGGACGUGAAACCGUUUGCAGGGAAACAGAUGGACCCACGAAGUCCAGUUGAGUGUGAAAUUCACAUCUCAAGACUGUUUAAAACAUAAUGCACAUCUUCUAUCGAAGGUGUCCUAUGUUUUGUGACUGUCAAGAGAUGCAUUUUUUACAUUCACGAUGGAGCUCUGACUUCUCAUCCAAGCCGAACUGCUUAAGGCAGCUCAUAAAUGUAGUAAGAUUCUUGUAAUCUUCGAUACAUAUGUGAGUGUGCAGUAAGGCUUUACUGAGGGGUUGAAUUUCUCACUUUGUGAGUGAUUCAGUUUGUCGGAGAGUAUAUUUUGAUAGGAAAGAUGCAAGUGACUAUUUUCGACUCUUGUAGUUGAAAUUGUCAGUUGUUCUCUUUCCAAUAUAUCAAAUAUAUUUGCCAAUGAUAAUCCAGAGUAAGUAGGUCGGUCAUCCAUCUGACC